CAUUAAGAAGCUUUCAAAUAAGCAAUAGCCUUUUAAGCUAGAGAUCGGUGAUUGAACCCACCCUUAGUGA
This 70-nucleotide transfer RNA is filed under the name Pachyhynobius shangchengensis (Shangcheng stout salamander). Its description in RNAcentral is "tRNA-Lys". It matches the Rfam family "tRNA". Rfam says of the family: Transfer RNA (tRNA) molecules are approximately 80 nucleotides in length. Their secondary structure includes four short double-helical elements and three loops (D, anti-codon, and T loops). Lineage: Eukaryota; Metazoa; Chordata; Amphibia; Caudata; Hynobiidae. The record is from RNAcentral.